RNAcentral lists this ribosomal RNA (427 nucleotides) under uncultured Lysobacteraceae bacterium. RNAcentral's name for it is "bacterial SSU rRNA". It matches the Rfam family "Bacterial small subunit ribosomal RNA", at positions 355 to 774 of the family's 1533-position model. Lineage: Bacteria; Pseudomonadati; Pseudomonadota; Gammaproteobacteria; Lysobacterales; Lysobacteraceae. The record is from RNAcentral.
UGGGGAAUAUUGGACAAUGGGCGCAAGCCUGAUCCAGCCAUGCCGCGUGGGUGAAGAAGGCCUUCGGGUUGUAAAGCCCUUUUGUCCGGGAAGAAAGCGCCCUGGUGAACAGCCGGGGUGGAUGACGGUACCGGAAGAAUAAGCACCGGCUAACUUCGUGCCAGCAGCCGCGGUAAUACGAAGGGUGCAAGCGUUACUCGGAAUUACUGGGCGUAAAGCGUGCGUAGGCGGUUCGUUAAGUCAGAUGUGAAAGCCCCGGGCUCAACCUGGGAAUGGCAUUUGAUACUGGCGGGCUAGAGUACGGUAGAGGGUGGUGGAAUUCCCGGUGUAGCAGUGAAAUGCGUAGAGAUCGGGAGGAACAUCCGUGGCGAAGGCGGCCACCUGGACCAGUACUGACGCUGAGGCACGAAAGCGUGGGGAGCAAACA